This 372-nucleotide long non-coding RNA is filed under the name Ananas comosus (pineapple). RNAcentral's name for it is "long non-coding RNA (ACOM_LNC038160)". Lineage: Eukaryota; Viridiplantae; Streptophyta; Magnoliopsida; Poales; Bromeliaceae. The record is from RNAcentral.
AAAAUAGCAAAAAUAAAAAUUUUAAUUUUUUUCUAAAUUCAUUUAUGUCAAACCAAUCAAGUGUGAAACAACCGUUGUACUCUAAAAACUUAAGCUAUUAGAGAACGGUGUUUAAAUAUUUUUAUAUUUAACACUCCCCCUCACGUCUGGACUCGAGACUUUUUAGUCAGCCCAUGAUGUGGGCUUAAAUUAAAUAGAAGAAAAUUAAUAUAUCAGAAGCCUGACGUGAUUCAAACUCAGGAUGUUCUACUCUGAUACCAUGUGAAACAACCGCUGCACUCUAAAAUCUUAAGCUAUUAGAGAGCGAUAUUUAAAUAUUUUUAUAUUUAACACCAAGCACAAAAAAAAAAUAUUUUUUAUAUCUAAAAUAAU